GACGAACGCUGGCGGCGUGCUUAACACAUGCAAGUCGAACGGAAAGGCCCCUUUGGGGGUACUCGAGUGGCGAACGGGUGAGUAACACGUGCGUAACCUGCCCUUGACUUCGGGAUAACUUCAGGAAACUGGGGCUAAUACCGGAUAGGAAUCCUUGCUGCAUGGUGGGGGUUGGAAAGCUUCGGCGGUUUUGGAUGGACUCGCGGCUUAUCAGCUUGUUGGUGGGGUAGUGGCUUACCAAGGCUUUGACGGGUAGCCGGCCUGAGAGGGCGACCGGCCACAUUGGGACUGAGAUACGGCCCAGACUCCUACGGGAGGGAGCAGUGGGGAAUAUUGAACAAUGGGCGGAAGCCUGAUGCAGCAACGCCGCGUGCGGGAUGACGGCCUUCGGGUUGUAAACCGCUUUCAGCAGGGGCGAAGCUUGUGGUGACGGUACCUGCAGAAGAAGCACCGGCUAACUACGUG
This 465-nucleotide ribosomal RNA is filed under the name uncultured bacterium. RNAcentral's name for it is "partial 16S ribosomal RNA". It matches the Rfam family "Bacterial small subunit ribosomal RNA", at positions 28 to 507 of the family's 1533-position model. The record is from RNAcentral.